RNAcentral lists this ribosomal RNA (497 nucleotides) under uncultured bacterium. Its description in RNAcentral is "partial 16S ribosomal RNA". It matches the Rfam family "Bacterial small subunit ribosomal RNA", at positions 27 to 506 of the family's 1533-position model. The record is from RNAcentral.
GGAUGAACGCUGGCGGCGUGCCUAAUACAUGCAAGUCGAGCGAACGGACGAGAAGCUUGCUUCUCUGAUGUUAGCGGCGGACGGGUGAGUAACACGUGGAUAACCUACCUAUAAGACUGGGAUAACUUCGGGAAACCGGAGCUAAUACCGGAUAAUAUUUUGAACCGCAUGGUUCAAAAGUGAAAGACGGUCUUGCUGUCACUUAUAGAUGGAUCCGCGCUGCAUUAGCUAGUUGGUAAGGUAACGGCUUACCAAGGCAACGAUGCAUAGCCGACCUGAGAGGGUGAUCGGCCACACUGGAACUGAGACACGGUCCAGACUCCUACGGGAGGCAGCAGUAGGGAAUCUUCCGCAAUGGGCGAAAGCCUGACGGAGCAACGCCGCGUGAGUGAUGAAGGUCUUCGGAUCGUAAAACUCUGUUAUUAGGGAAGAACAUAUGUGUAAGUAACUGUGCACAUCUUGGCGGUACCUAAUCAGAAAGCCACGGCUAACUACGU